CAAAUUAGCCAGUAAAAAAUGAGAAAUCUUGAUGAUUGUCAAAGUAACAAUGAUCAUGAGUACUCGUCCAUAGUGAAUCUGGGCAAUAAUUAUAAUCCCAUGUCGUUGAUGCCAUAACUGGUAAAUGAUUCCUAGUUUCGAUUUCUUCAGUUGAUUCGACUUCUUUCCAGAUUUCAUCCAUGGAAUAGACCAUCAUGUUCUGAUCUCCUUCAUAUAUUUUAUUUUCUCCAGCAACUUGCAACAACUCGACGCAAUCAUUUCUUUCAGUACUGGAGUCCUCAGCAGGACUGUUGGCAGAGGAAGAGGAGCAAUUGGAGAAAUUGGAUGAAGAUGGAGAAAUUGAAGCCUUAU
This 351-nucleotide long non-coding RNA is filed under the name Solanum tuberosum (potato). RNAcentral's name for it is "long non-coding RNA (STUB_LNC006862)". Lineage: Eukaryota; Viridiplantae; Streptophyta; Magnoliopsida; Solanales; Solanaceae. The record is from RNAcentral.